AACCAUAGAAACCUGCGGAGUACCUGCGGAAGGAUCAUUACAGAGUUGCAAAACUCCCUAAACCAUUGUGAACGUUACCUAAACCGUUGCUUCGGCGGGCGGCCCGGGUCCUUCCCGGCGCCCAUCGGCCCUCGCGGGCGCCCGCCGGAGGUAAACCAAACUAUUGCAUUGUAUGGCCUCUCUGAGUCUUCUGUACUGAAUAAGUCAAAACUUUUAACAACGGAUCACAGAUCGGAAGAG
Molecule: unclassified non-coding RNA, 240 nt
Filed under: soil metagenome
Description: partial contains 5.8S ribosomal RNA, internal transcribed spacer 2, and large subunit ribosomal RNA
Source: RNAcentral